RNAcentral lists this ribosomal RNA (468 nucleotides) under uncultured bacterium. RNAcentral describes it as "partial 16S ribosomal RNA". It matches the Rfam family "Bacterial small subunit ribosomal RNA", at positions 28 to 507 of the family's 1533-position model. The record is from RNAcentral.
GACGAACGCUGGCGGCGUGCUUAACACAUGCAAGUCGAACGGAAAGGCCCUGCUUUUGUGGGGUGCUCGAGUGGCGAACGGGUGAGUAACACGUGAGUAACCUGCCCUUGACUUUGGGAUAACUUCAGGAAACUGGGGCUAAUACCGGAUAGGAGCUCCUGCCGCAUGGUGGGGGCUGGAAAGUUUCGGCGGUUGGGGAUGGACUCGCGGCUUAUCAGCUUGUUGGUGGGGUAGUGGCUUACCAAGGCUUUGACGGGUAGCCGGCCUGCGAGGGUGACCGGCCACAUUGGGACUGAGAUACGGCCCAGACUCCUACGUGAGGCAGCAGUGGGGAAUAUUGCACAAUGGGCGGAAGCCUGAUGCAGCAACGCCGCGUGCGGGAUGACGGCCUUCGGGUUGUAAACCGCUUUCGCCUGUGACGAAGCGUGAGUGACGGUAAUGGGUAAAGAAGCACCGGCUAACUACGUG